This 682-nucleotide ribosomal RNA is filed under the name uncultured bacterium. RNAcentral's name for it is "bacterial SSU rRNA". It matches the Rfam family "Bacterial small subunit ribosomal RNA", at positions 243 to 916 of the family's 1533-position model. The record is from RNAcentral.
AGCUAGUUGGUAGGGUAAUGGCCUACCAAGGCAACGAUGGUUAGCUGGUCUGAGAGGAUGAUCAGCCACACUGGAACUGGAACACGGUCCAGACUCCUACGGGAGGCAGCAGUGAGGAAUUUUGCGCAAUAGGGGAAACCCUGACGCAGCAACGCCGCGUGAGUGAUGAAGGCCUUCGGGUCGUAAAGCUCUGUCAAGUGGGAAAAAAGUCAGUCGGUGAAUAGCCGGCUGGCCUGAUGGUACCACUAGAGGAAGCACCGGCUAACUCCGUGCCAGCAGCCGCGGUAAUACGGAGGGUGCAAGCGUUGUUCGGAAUUACUGGGCGUAAAGCGCGUGUAGGCGGUUUGGUAAGUCAGAUGUGAAAGCCCUGAGCUCAACUCAGGAAGUGCAUUUGAAACUGCCAUACUCGAGUAUGGGAGAGGAGAGUGGAAUUCCCAGUGUAGAGGUGAAAUUCGUAGAUAUUGGGAGGAACACCCGUGGCGAAGGCGACUCUCUGGACCAAUACUGACGCUGAGACGCGAAAGCGUGGGGAGCAAACAGGAUUAGAUACCCUGGUAGUCCACGCCGUAAACUAUGAGAACUAGGUGUAGCGGGUAUUGACCCCUGCUGUGCCGUAGCUAACGCAUUAAGUUCUCCGCCUGGGGAGUACGGCCGCAAGGCUAAAACUCAAAGGAAUUGACGG